Molecule: long non-coding RNA, 462 nt
Organism: Neofelis nebulosa (Clouded leopard)
Lineage: Eukaryota; Metazoa; Chordata; Mammalia; Carnivora; Felidae
Exons: 3
Source: RefSeq, a predicted model, not a curated record
ACAACCUCCCUCUUCCAAGUAUCCAGCGAUCCAGUGAGUCAGGUAAGGGCCCCAAAACAUGUCAGCCAGCCAGAAGAUGAAGUAAAGGCAUUCCACAGAAGGUAGCAUUUACACUCAAUUUGGAAAGGCUACUUUGGAACAAUUACAUGACUGAUUUAUAUUGGUCAUCUCUAAGGACUCUCAGACCACGUUCCCAUCUGUAAAUAGGUACCCCUUCCAGUGUUACUUUCCUCUGGGUCACCACCUACGUGAAGGAGUUGAGAAUUCCACAUUUAUGGGUUGAUAACGUUAUUGACAUUUGGAUCUUUUUGUGGAUCUGUUCCUGGAAAUGAUGUACUUGAAACUCAUUAUAGAUCUUCAUAGAAACUCGACGGAACGUGCCUUGGGCUUUGUGCUCAUCAGCACAUACCGAGUUGACUGCAUAAUUCAUAUCUCUUGUGUCACAUUUAAUGUAUAACAUGU